AGAUGUCUCUGUGUUCACUGUUGUGCUGUGAGAACAGAGGAAAAGCAAAUGUUGGUUUUUCUCUACAUCAGAGGACACAAAUGUUCAGACCAUAGUGGCUGUGGCAGGAAUUUGCCGCUCUAUUUCAGCCAACGCCUGAAGACCGGUCCAGGCUCUUUAUUUCCUGUGGCAUUUGCUGAAAUCGGCUCACAACUGGGAAUGUGUGUGUCUCCCACAGCCCAGCAGUGGCUUCUCCAGGAUCCCAGAGACAUUCCUUUGAAAGCAGGAGGGAGCAGGCCUCAGUCUCUGCAGGAAGGUAGAAUCCUGACUUUGGGCCUGGCUGGCUGGCAAACGCAGAUGGCCUCAUCCGAUUGGCCCGGAGCCCCCGCUCGCCCCCUCUCCUUCCCUUUGCGACGCCCGCCACCUCUGCGCAAAUUAGAACGGGGCUGCUCUUUCCUGACGGCUGCCGGCUCGGAAUGGAAAUCUGUUUUCACCGCUUUAAUGUCCCGCUUUAUCUUCGCGUUAACUGAAAAAUCACAGGAUCUAUAAAUUGGAAACGCAGAUUCCAUUUCUCGCCACGGGAGGGCUGGGAGACCCGUGAGGGCGGCCCUCACCCGUGUGCAAGGAACACACACGCACCUGACCAGUGACGGACGCUCACCCUGGGGUGAGGCUUCACACGUGACUGUAUCCAGUUGGGUCUUUCCAGGACGCAAAGGUGCGCGCGCGCAGCCUGUGUGCCCCGGCCAGGACCAGCCCACGGCCACGGUCUCUCAUCAGGAGGAAGCUCCUGAAGUCAGUGUCCUGUGCAGUGAAGGCUGCCGCCGCGGCUGGUGGAGCAGGGGGCGGGCGGCGAUGGUCCAAACGCUGCUUAGUUGGAGGCCGGAGCUUGUUUAGCUGCUGGAGAAAAAGGAUGGUUUACUCUUUAAGUGUAGGGUGCUGACUUCACCCUUAGAUCUGGUUUGUAAUUUGGCACCUCAUUGCCACAAAGACUCCAUCCUGUCUCUGUUUUUUAAAAAUUCUCUAAACCUCACCUGGGACUGUCUCUGUGUUAACACAAAUGCUGUCAGUUGUAAACCUCAGCAGAAAGGGGUAUGAUGAGCUGUGUCCGAUUCCCACCCUAUCAUGGCCAGAAAUUGUUUUGAAGCUUCUGCGGGGUCCCCUGUACCAAGAGGGUGUCUGUGCACUUGGCUGGGGGUGCUUAGGAUUUUAUUUUCGUUUAGUCUCUAAAUCAGGAGACACAGACAGGCCGGCCUAUUUGUAGAUCUGCCAGUUAGCUUGCAGUGGAGGCGGGCCCUGGGUUCAUGCGAAAUGAGGAGGGUGAAACCCCGGCCCGCAAGGCCUAGGGCCCAACCUGCAGUAGCAACAAGGCUAAGUUGCUGCACUUU
Molecule: long non-coding RNA, 1367 nt
Organism: Sapajus apella (tufted capuchin)
Lineage: Eukaryota; Metazoa; Chordata; Mammalia; Primates; Cebidae
Exons: 2
Source: RefSeq, a predicted model, not a curated record